GAUGAAGAACGUAGCGAAAUGCGAUACUUGGUGUGAAUUGCAGAAUCCCGUGAACCAUCGAGUCUUUGAACGCAAGUUGCGCCCGAAGCCAUUAGGCCGAGGGCACGCCUGCCUGGGCGUCACACGUCGUUGCCCCCCCAUCUACUCCUUCGGGAUUGCGGGGGGCGGAUGAUGGCCUCCCGUGCGCCUCGUCGCGCGGUUGGCAUAAAUGCCAAGUCCUCGGCGACGCACGCCACGACAAUCGGUGGUUGCGAAACCUCGGUUGCCCGUCGUGUGCGGUCGUCGCGCAUCGAGGGCUCGAAAAAAUUGCCGGGCUCCGGCUCGGCUUUCAACGCGACCCCAGGUCAGGCGGGGUUACCCGUUGAAUUUAAGCAUAUCAAUAAGCGGAGGA
This 391-nucleotide unclassified non-coding RNA is filed under the name soil metagenome. RNAcentral describes it as "partial contains 5.8S ribosomal RNA, internal transcribed spacer 2, and large subunit ribosomal RNA". The stretch from base 1 to 122 matches the Rfam family "5.8S ribosomal RNA", at positions 35 to 154 of the family's 154-position model. The record is from RNAcentral.